CCAGACUCCUACGGGAGGCAGCAGUGGGGAAUAUUGCACAAUGGGGGAAACCCUGAUGCAGCAACGCCGCGUGAGUGAAGAAGUAUUUCGGUAUGUAAAGCUCUAUCAGCAGGGAAGAGAAUGACGGUACCUGACUAAGAAGCCCCGGCUAACUACGUGCCAGCAGCCGCGGUAAUACGUAGGGGGCGAGCGUUAUCCGGAUUUACUGGGUGUAAAGGGAGCGUAGACGGUUCUGCAAGUCUGAAGUGAAAGCCCGUGGCUUAACCGCGGAACGGCUUUGGAAACUGUGCAGCUAGAGUGCAGGAGAGGUAAGUGGAAUUUCUAGUGUAGCGGUGAAAUGCGUAGAUAUUAGGAGGAACACCAGUGGCGAAGGCGGCUUACUGGACUGUAACUGACGUUGAGGCUCGAAAGCGUGGGGAGCAAACAGGAUUAGAUACCCGGGUA
Molecule: ribosomal RNA, 444 nt
Filed under: uncultured bacterium
Lineage: Bacteria
Description: bacterial SSU rRNA
Rfam family: Bacterial small subunit ribosomal RNA
Source: RNAcentral